GAUUGCUAAUACCGGAUACGCUGAUUUAUCAGGAAAGGUGGCCUCUUCAUGAAAGCUACUGUAUUAGGAGGAGCUUGCGUACCAUUAGCUAGUUGGUGGGGUAAUGGCCUACCAAGGCGACGAUGGUUAGCGGGUCUGAGAGGAUGAUCCGCCACACUGGAACUGAAACACGGACCAGACUCCUACGGGAGGCAGCAGUGAGGAAUAUUGCGCAAUGGGGGAAACCCUGACGCAGCGACGCCGCGUGGAUGAUGAAGGCUUUCGGGUCGUAAAAUCCUGUCAGAUGGGAAGAAAUGCUAUGAGGCUAAUACCUUUGUAGUUUGACGGUACCAUCAAAGGAAGCACCGGCUAACUCCGUGCCAGCAGCCGCGGUAAUACGGAGGGUGCAAGCGUUGUUCGGAAUUACUGGGCGUAAAGCGCGCGUAGGCGGCUUUUUAAGUCAGAUGUGAAAGUCCACGGCUCAACCGUGGAAGUGCAUUUGAUACUGGAAGGCUUGAGUACUGGAGGGGAUGGUGGAAUUCCCGGUGUAGAGGUGAAAUUCGUAGAUAUCGGGAGGAAUACCGGUGGCGAAGGCGACCAUCUGG
RNAcentral lists this ribosomal RNA (584 nucleotides) under Desulfotalea sp. PR6_A11. RNAcentral's name for it is "bacterial SSU rRNA". It matches the Rfam family "Bacterial small subunit ribosomal RNA", at positions 158 to 732 of the family's 1533-position model. The record is from RNAcentral. Lineage: Bacteria; Pseudomonadati; Thermodesulfobacteriota; Desulfobulbia; Desulfobulbales; Desulfocapsaceae.